Molecule: non-coding RNA, 789 nt
Organism: Doryrhamphus excisus (bluestripe pipefish)
Lineage: Eukaryota; Metazoa; Chordata; Actinopteri; Syngnathiformes; Syngnathidae
Source: RefSeq, a predicted model, not a curated record
UUGUGCAAUUAAUGCGAUUCCUCAAGGCAGUUAUGAAUGAUCACCUUCAACUUGCAUAAUAGAAAUAAACAGGCAAAUGUGACGCGCAUGCUCAUACACAGCCAUAUGUAAGGACCGCCUCUGUCCCUUUAAGACGCCACGCUGCUCACUCUCUCAAGCAAAGGGAGUGUGUGCACGAGCUGGAAGCGCAUAGACUUUCACUUUUCACGGACUAUUCCCUCCACGCCCACAAACUUCUCCCAAUGUGUGGACACUCCAUGCCCACACGCCACACACAUAUGAUACACGGAGCUCAUCACAAUAGACGAAGACUCACCUUUGUCGACAUCGCUGUCAUCCUGCCGCUGACACACAAGCCAAACGAAGCACUUCCGGGUGAACAUUAAGAAGCGCAAAUUGGCGCGCUUGUAAUGGGCAUUUCGGACCUGCUGAAGAAGAACUGGGAGGUGCUUUGCUGGAUAGCCAUAGAUUGCAAGAUACAGAAGGCGUGGGAUGACCAACACGCCAGGCACCGAGAGCUCGUCUCCAGGGAGAAGGUCCUGCUGCUUCUGCCAAGCUCACACUCAACAUACCCAUCUUAAAAAAGCAUGGAAACGGACUCGCGCCAACAUGCCAUGGCUGAGACGGACGUACCUGAGAUUGAGUAAAAAAAAAAAAAGGUUUUCCUCUCAUUCCGUGUGGAAGUGGUAAGUUUAUGGCUUCUUUGUCCUUCUUUCGACUAUGUUUGAAACACUUUCAACAUGUAAGCUUGUCCAUGCUUUUCAAAUCCCCACCUGCUGUGGAGCGCUU